AUGUGCCCUGAACAUAAAUCAAACCAGCGACCUUUUGGUUUGUGGGAGGAUCCCCAACCAACUGAGCCACAAGUCUAGGGCUUGAUCUAGAAAUUUUUUAAAAAUCUCAUUAACUCAACAACAAAUAUGCUUAAGACCUUAACAAAAACACCUUAGUGGUGAUAAUUCCAUCUUUGAUUCUGAUUUCAGUCUUAUCCAGUUCUUUCCUUAAAUGUAAACAAAGAUUCCUAUUAACAAAUUAAAAUAACUGUCCACAUCAAGUUACACACAGCACUACAUUCAACCAAAAACUGGUAGAUAAAUUAUUUGACAGAGUUAUAUGAGACUUUCAAGUGUGCAAGAAAGUCUGAGGCAUCUAAAUUCUGAAAUCACCACGCUCUUUAGAUGACAUAAAACCAGUAGAAUAGAGCAGGUAAAAUUGAGAUCAUCCCUAAACAUCCAGAGCACAACAGUUGCUAGAUUCAUGGGACAGGAUUAGAAAAUCCUGCCAUUACUUAAAGUCACAUUAAAUAAAUACACACAUAUACAAACACAUAUAC
Molecule: long non-coding RNA, 539 nt
Organism: Phyllostomus discolor (pale spear-nosed bat)
Lineage: Eukaryota; Metazoa; Chordata; Mammalia; Chiroptera; Phyllostomidae
Exons: 3
Source: RefSeq, a predicted model, not a curated record